UUCGUUCUCCUUGGGCGGUUUCCUGGACCAAUGUGCCCGAAAUGCCCUUGGCUCCCGCGCCUCCCCUUCCAAGAUGCUUCCUUUUCCCCUUCAAAAGACGACGCCACCACAGGCGCACAGCCUUGCAUCCUCGUCAUCUUCGCUUGGACCCCUUCCUCUCUCUCUCGGGAUCGCUCCACGCCACCUCCGUCUCCGCCAGCCAGGGCGCGGGAUCCCUCGGCUAGAAUUGCGAAGCUGCAGAUCGAGAAGUGAGCCAUGGCGAAGAUCAAGCCGAGAGCACUGCUGGCACAGAGCAAGCAGAAGAGGAGCCCUACUAAAAUCGCCCCAACAAUGUUUGCCUUCAUCGUCGUCGGUGCCCUAGUGGUGUCCUCACUCUACGCAUACAAGUACUGGAUGAGCAAAGGACCAGCUGGAGCGGAAAGUGUUGCUGGGAACUAAGCCCGAGCAAAUGUGGAAUGAUUAAUUCUUUUGUUGUAUGUAUCAUCUUGUUGGCUAAUUUCAGUUGUUGUACUCCAUUAAAUGGAACA
This is a long non-coding RNA of Triticum aestivum (bread wheat), 527 nucleotides long. RefSeq lists it as uncharacterized. NCBI's taxonomy places the organism in Eukaryota, Viridiplantae, Streptophyta, Magnoliopsida, Poales, Poaceae. The transcript is spliced from 2 exons. The record is from RefSeq and is a predicted model, not a curated record.